This 297-nucleotide ribosomal RNA is filed under the name uncultured bacterium. RNAcentral's name for it is "partial 16S ribosomal RNA". It matches the Rfam family "Bacterial small subunit ribosomal RNA", at positions 775 to 1067 of the family's 1533-position model. The record is from RNAcentral.
GGAUUAGAUACCCUGGUAGUCCACGCCGUAAACGAUGGGUACUAAGUAGGGGGGCACCAAAGGCCUCCCUGCCGGAGCUAAUGUGUUAAGUACCCCGCCUGGGGAGUAUGGUCGCAAGGCUGAAACUCAAAGGAAUUGACGGGGGCUCACACAAGCGGUGGAGCAUGUUGUUUAAUUCGAUGCAACGCGAAGAACCUUACCUGGGCUUGACAUGUAAGUAGUACCAAUCCGAAAGGGGCGGGACCCUCCUUGAGGGAGCUUACACAGGUAUUGCAUGGCUGUCGUCAGCUCGUGUUG